CAGAGGCCUCGAGCGUUAGGCGGAAUCACUGGGCUUAAAGCGUGUGUAGGCGGAUUGGUAAGUACCUUGUGAAAUCCCACAGCUUAACUGUGGAACUGCUCGGUAUACUGCUGAUCUUGAGCCACUCAGGGGCUACCGGAACAAAUAGUGGAGCGGUGAAAUGCGUAGAUAUCAUUUGGAACGCCAAUGGUGAAAACAGGUAGCUGGGGGUGUGCUGACGCUGAGACACGAAAGCCAGGGGAGCAAACGGGAUUAGAUACCCCGGUAGUCCUGGCCGUAAACGAUGUCGACUAGAUCGUGGCGCCUCUGACGGUGUCACGGUCGUAGCAAAAGUGCUAAGUCGACCGCCUGGGAAGUACGGUCGCAAGGCUA
RNAcentral lists this ribosomal RNA (372 nucleotides) under uncultured organism. RNAcentral's name for it is "bacterial SSU rRNA". It matches the Rfam family "Bacterial small subunit ribosomal RNA", at positions 526 to 896 of the family's 1533-position model. The record is from RNAcentral.